This is an RNA transcript of Rosa chinensis, 1177 nucleotides long. It is a transcript of the gene named homeobox-leucine zipper protein HAT5-like, with no coding region annotated. The transcript has 4 exons. The record is from RefSeq and is a predicted model, not a curated record. Lineage: Eukaryota; Viridiplantae; Streptophyta; Magnoliopsida; Rosales; Rosaceae.
CAGUUUUCUCACCAUCACACACUGCUAUUUCAAACUCCGCUGCCGCUUUCACUUUCGGAGUUUUAGGGCGGGAGCCGGUGACGGAAGAAAUGGAAGACCCGGUUCCUUCUUCAUCAGCCCCACCACCCAACCUCACCACCAUUCACAGUUCUCAAUCUCUCUCCCUCUCUCUACUUCCGCCUCACAUUCUUGUUUCAAUUUUCUCAAUCAAUUAAUGCUUUCCCUCUUUCCAAAAUUUGAAGACGAGUGCUUGAGUUCGAAGAGAUUCUCGAGCGAUGCCGCCGAGAUGAUGAUUCCGAAUCACCUACUGCAGAUUCUCAGGAUUUACUUAACGACUGCGCUGUGUUUCUCCGGAGUAGUGUUGAAAAGAUAGUAACUGAUUGCUCUGAUGUUGGUCUGUUGGGGGAUCAAGAUUUUGAAGCAUAUAUGGGACGUUUUGAGCUGGAGCUUAGCUCCGUGGAGGCCGAGAGCGCUAAGGUUUCCGAUGAAAUUGAGGGUCUUGUUCGAACCCAUGAGGAAGUAAUUCUUCAUUGCAGUGGUUUAACAAAAGUGCAGGACAGAAUUGUCAAGCACACCAAACAACCAGCAGAACAACAAACCCAGACCAUCUUCUAGUUCUAAAGAAAGAACAAGCAAGCAAUAAUUAGCCGAUGGAGAGAGUAGUUGACCAUCACAUGACAGCACAACUAGUGCCUGAUCUGCCUUCAAGGGCAUCCUUCAAGAGUAGUUGACCAUCACAUGACAGCAAUAAUUAGCCGAUGGAGAGAGUAGUUGACCAUCAAGGGCAUCCUUCAAGACUUCGGCAGAUGAAAGGCUUCUUUGAGAAUGCAAAAAAGAAAAAACAAUAUUCAUAAACUAGUAGGAGAACUAACAAAGUUUUCGAUUAUUGAGGAAGAGCAAGAAAUGGUGAAUUCGUACCUGAAAAUCAACUUAUCCAUUAGUCAGCGCUUCCACUGGUAUUAGGUUCAACUCCAUGGGUGAUCUAUUUAAAUCUUUAUGUUGGACCAGGUUCCCCAUCAUGAUCAAAGUGUAAAACACCUCGCUUGGUACUAAUGCCUCCUGAUAAUACUGAUGAUGAUGUAGAUACAGUGGCAGCUUCUGCUUCAGUGUAGGCCUCAUCAUAUGGCCCUUGGGCCCAAAGCCCGCCCGGCCCGGCCCUUCCAUUAGGGCGGGCUGG